AUGGGAGUGAUGCCAUGGUGGGAUACAGGUGACAUUGAUUCAGUUCCUGCCAUUGUCACCGGUCUUCCCAUGAAUGUGUCUCUCACUAACUGUGGGUGCACAGCACCUAGCAUGAUGGGGCCUCCAGACUUGUUAUAUGUUCCUGUUCAUUCUUGCGUAGGUGCCUGUUCUCAGCCAGUUCUGACUCAGCCCUCCUCAGCGUCUGUGUCACCAGGACAAACAGCCAAACUGUCUUGUACCAUCAGCAGUGACUACAGCCCUAGCAGCGCCAAUCUGGAUUGGUACCAACAGGGAUCUGGCCAAGCCCCUCGCUUUGUCUUGCGUCGCACCAGCAGCAGAGGUGUUGGAGUCUCAGACCGAUUCACUGGUUCUAGCUCUGGCAAUGUUGCUUAUUUAACCAUCACCAAUGUCAAGGCAGAGGAUGAGGAUGAUUAUUAUUGUGCCCUAUGGUGGGCUGGCUGUGAGUGAAGCAUGUCCAUCACCUCCUGAGCCAUCCUCCUAACCCUGCAAGAGCUGCCAGCACCAAUGACCCCGUGAGGACCUGGAGCAGGAACACAUCGCCUGCCUGUGUGCC
This is a non-coding RNA of Pelodiscus sinensis (Chinese soft-shelled turtle), 574 nucleotides long. The record is from the annotation of a RefSeq genome assembly. Lineage: Eukaryota; Metazoa; Chordata; Testudines; Trionychidae.